GCGGCAGGCCUAACACAUGCAAGUCGAACGGUAACAGGAAGAAUCUUGCUUCUUUGCUGACGAGUGGCGGACGGGUGAGUAAUGUCUGGGAAACUGCCUGAUGGAGGGGGAUAACUACUGGAAACGGUAGCUAAUACCGCAUAACGUCGCAAGACCAAAGAGGGGGACCUUCGGGCCUCUUGCCAUCGGAUGUGCCCAGAUGGGAUUAGCUAGUAGGUGGGGUAACGGCUCACCUAGGCGACGAUCCCUAGCUGGUCUGAGAGGAUGACCAGCCACACUGGAACUGAGACACGGUCCAGACUCCUACGGGAGGCAGCAGUGGGGAAUAUUGCACAAUGGGCGCAAGCCUGAUGCAGCCAUGCCGCGUGUAUGAAGAAGGCCUUCGGGUUGUAAAGUACUUUCAGCGGGGAGGAAGGGAGUAAAGUUAAUACCUUUGCUCAUUGACGUUACCCGCAGAAGAAGCACCGGCUAACUCCGUGCCAGCAGCCGCGGUAAUACGGAGGGUGCAAGCGUUAAUCGGAAUUACUGGGCGUAAAGCGCACGCAGGCGGUUUGUUAAGUCAGAUGUGAAAUCCCCGGGCUCAACCUGGGAACUGCAUCUGAUACUGGCAAGCUUGAGUCUCGUAGAGGGGGGUAGAAUUCCAGGUGUAGCGGUGAAAUGCGUAGAGAUCUGGAGGAAUACCGGUGGCGAAGGCGGCCCCCUGGACGAAGACUGACGCUCAAGUGCGAAAGCGUGAGGAGCAAACAGGAUUAGAUACCCUGGUAGUCCACGCCGUAAACGAUGUCGACUUGGAGGUUGUGCCCUUGAGGCGUGCUUUCCGGAGCCUAACGCGUUAAGUCGACCGCCUGGGGAGUACGGCCGCAAGGUUAAAACUCAAAUGAAUUGACGGGGGCCCGCACAAGCGGUGGAGCAUGUGGUUUAAUUCGAUGCAACGCGAAGAACCUUACCUGGUCUUGACAUCCACGGAAGUUUUCAGAGAUGAGAAUGUGCCUUCGGGAACCGUGAGACAGGUGCUGCAUGGCUGUCGUCAGCUCGUGUUGUGAAAUGUUGGGUUAAGUCCCGCAACGAGCGCAACCCUUAUCCUUUGUUGCCAGCGGUCCGGCCGGGAACUCAAAGGAGACUGCCAGUGAUAAACUGGAGGAAGGUGGGGAUGACGUCAAGUCAUCAUGGCCCUUACGACCAGGGCUACACACGUGCUACAAUGGCGCAUACAAAGAGAAGCGACCUCGCGAGAGCAAGCGGACCUCAUAAAGUGCGUCGUAGUCCGGAUUGGAGUCUGCAACUCGACUCCAUGAAGUCGGAAUCGCUAGUAAUCGUGGAUCAGAAUGCCACGGUGAAUACGUUCCCGGGCCUUGUACACACCGCCCGUCACACCAUGGGAGUGGGUUGCAAAAGAAGUAGGUAGCUUAACCUUCGGGAGGGCGCUUACCACUUUGUGAUUCAUGACUGGGG
Molecule: ribosomal RNA, 1452 nt
Filed under: uncultured organism
Description: SSU rRNA
Rfam family: Bacterial small subunit ribosomal RNA
Source: RNAcentral